GUGAUUGCGAAGGAAGAUAGAAGAGAACUCGACGACAAGAAGCGAACGAAGAAUCGCUCGGGCGGGAUCUCGAGAAGCUGUUACCCGGAGGGAUCGGACGGCCGCUGACCCCCCCGUUCCGCUUUCACCGCUUCUCAGCCCGAGAGAUCGCAUGCCGCUGAGCUGCCUUUUGCUGCUGCUGAGAACUUUCUCGCUGCUACUGAGACUUUUUCACGGCUACUCUGCUUUCUACCUACCUGUGGCACAUGCACAAGCUACAUGGACAACUCAUUUAUGGACAUUCAGCACUGAGAAGAAGGAGUACCAUUCUUGUGGACUGAUGAAAGAAGGACUGGUUGAUUCUUUGCCUAUGUGUGUAAUUGUAUUGUAUUAUUGAUAUUGCCAUGUCGCUAGUGCAAGGGCCCUGUAUUAGCUGAUGUUGGCAUUUUCUAUAAUACAAAAGAGGGGGAAUUGUUGGGGAGCCCAGCUGGUUCUGGGCUCUCAGUAAACUGAGACAUUGAAGAUGGAACUUUUUACACCUGGCAGAGGGUUAACCACGGACAGUAGGACUGUGACACAGUGGGUUUCCUGUGAGGAAUGUCAGCCUAUUGUGUUAGGACAUGUGGCUGUAUGUCCAAUCAUGAGUUGUUAUGACAGUGGUAAACCAAUGCUGUGUGUACAUGUGUCACCCCAGAACUGUAUAAAGGUAGCUGUACUGUUGCAAUAAAAAAGCUGCUGGUAUCCUGAAACCCA
This is a long non-coding RNA of Myiozetetes cayanensis, 732 nucleotides long. RefSeq lists it as uncharacterized. The transcript is spliced from 2 exons. Lineage: Eukaryota; Metazoa; Chordata; Aves; Passeriformes; Tyrannidae. The record is from RefSeq and is a predicted model, not a curated record.